CCCAGACUCCUACGGGAGGCAGCAGUGGGGAAUAUUGCACAAUGGGGGAAACCCUGAUGCAGCGACGCCGCGUGAGUGAAGAAGUAUUUCGGUAUGUAAAGCUCUAUCAGCAGGAAAGAAAAUGACGGUACCUGACUAAGAAGCCCCGGCUAACUACGUGCCAGCAGCCGCGGUAAUACGUAGGGGGCAAGCGUUAUCCGGAUUUACUGGGUGUAAAGGGAGCGUAGACGGUGAAGCAAGUCUGAAGUGAAAGGCGGGGGCUCAACCCCCGGACUGCUUUGGAAACUGUUUGACUGGAGUGCAGGAGAGGUAAGUGGAAUUCCUAGUGUAGCGGUGAAAUGCGUAGAUAUUAGGAGGAACACCAGUGGCGAAGGCGGCCUGCUGGACGAUGACUGACGCUGAGGCUCGAAAGCGUGGGGAGCAAACAGGAUUAGAUACCCUAGUAA
Molecule: ribosomal RNA, 446 nt
Filed under: uncultured bacterium
Lineage: Bacteria
Description: partial 16S ribosomal RNA
Rfam family: Bacterial small subunit ribosomal RNA
Source: RNAcentral